Molecule: ribosomal RNA, 497 nt
Filed under: uncultured bacterium
Lineage: Bacteria
Description: partial 16S ribosomal RNA
Rfam family: Bacterial small subunit ribosomal RNA
Source: RNAcentral
GAUGAACGCUGGCGGCGUGCCUAAUACAUGCAAGUCGAGCGAACAGACGAGGAGCUUGCUCCUCUGAUGUUAGCGGCGGACGGGUGAGUAACACGUGGAUAACCUACCUAUAAGACUGGGAUAACUUCGGGAAACCGGAGCUAGUACCGGAUAAUAUGUUGAACCGCAUGGUUCAAUAGUGAAAGACGGUCUUGCUGUCACUUCUAGAUGGAUCCGCGCCGCAUUAGCUAGUUGGUAAGGUAACGGCUUACCAAGGCAACGGUGCGUAGCCGACCUGAGAGGGUGAUCGGCCACCAGGGAACUGAGAAGCGGUCCAGACUCCUACGGGAGGCAGCCGUUGGGAAUCUUCCGGCAUGGGCGCAAGCCUGACGGAGCAACGCCGGGUGAGUGAAGAAGGUCCUCGGAUCGUAAAACCCUGUUAUUAGGGAAGGACAAAUGUGUAAGUAACUAUGCCCGUCUUGGCGGGACCUAAUCAGGAAGCCACGGCUAACUACGUG